This is a long non-coding RNA of Oncorhynchus keta (chum salmon), 3095 nucleotides long. RefSeq lists it as uncharacterized. The transcript has 3 exons. The record is from RefSeq and is a predicted model, not a curated record. Lineage: Eukaryota; Metazoa; Chordata; Actinopteri; Salmoniformes; Salmonidae.
GUGACCUGUGCUUGAUGAGAGCCUGGCCACCGCUAGGCUGCCAGAGCAUCGAGGUCUUGAGGGUAAACGCCACAGCUGAGAAAAUAUUGAGGAGGCUCGCUCCCUCCAGGGAAGAGUGGCUUCCUACGGUCUUCACCAGAAUUGAUUACACACAGCUCCAUGGACCAUUAGGUGCAGUUGACCUCCGCUGAUUUGCAACACCAGGUGCUGUGAUCCCUGUGCCAGGCCGGUGGAGAACAGAAGUCCUUCCUGGUUCCAGGUCCUGAAGUGGAAGUGUACGUCCAGCCCCCACACCCCAAGAGGACCCAGGGGUAGAGACAGUGCCUAGAGAGCCCCAGGUCAGCAGAAAGCUGUCAGACAGACUCUGAUGCAGAGGAGAGCAGGGGGGAUGAAGAGGAGUUAAGGAGUAGCAGCUGUGCCAGUAAAGGAGUGACAGAAGAGACUGAACAAGCAAGUAAUAAGGGAAAGGAAGAGAAUGGACAGAUUCGAAGUGUGGAAGAUGAGGUUUGGAAAGGGAAGCUACUGUUCGCAGACUAGCCAGCUGAUGUGGUGAGGAGACAGAACUGUAUAAAAGCAUGCACCCAGACUCAGAAGGCAAGCCAUUCCCCAACUAUUUACAGUAAGUCAGCAAGCAGAAGAGAAAAGUUGCAGAGAGACUGGCUUAUUUAUAGUAAGAGUGUAAAGGCAUUAUAUUGCAUUCCAUGUGUUCUUUUUUUCUCACGAGCAAAGUAAACCUUCACCCAGUUCUCUGAGUAGUAAGGAUGGCUAUACGAUAUCAUCAGUGAAAUGGCAGAGAAUGUAUGACACACUACCAGAGCAUGAGGAUGGUGUCUCACAAGAACUGUUACUGGAAAUGAAAAAAUAUCCAGCAUACCGUAACAACAGCUACAGGUAUAGACAGUCAGCUGCAGAAACAAAUCCAGUCCGAAAUGUAUAAAAACAGAGCACUUCUAGAAAGGAUUUUGGAUGACACUGUACAUCGCAUCUAGGAAUCUACCAUUCGGACGGAAAUCACUCGAUCUUGAUGAUGUGCAUCAUGGACAUUACCUAGGCUUCCUUGAACUGUCGUCAAAUUAUGACCCGCUAUUACGUGAGCACUUACAGAAAGUCACGGACAAAAGGAAAGGAGCACGACAGUCUUAUUACCUCAGAUCUGAGAGCCACAACGAGUUCAUAGGAAUAUGUGGUCAAAGGGUUUUUGAAAACAGUACUUUAUGAAAGAGAAGAUGUAAUCUAUUACUCGGUUGUAUGUGAUGCAACUCCAGACAUUUCCCAUACUGAGCUAAAUGUAUUCUUGAUGAGAUAUGUACACAAAGAUAAAGUUUAGGAAACAGGUGACUGGGAAUUAAUUGAACGUUUUCUUGAAUUUAAAGACUUUGCUAGAAAGACAGGCAGUGAAAUUUCCGAAGUGAUUUGAGUGCAUUGGAAGGGCAUGGUAUUGACAUAGCAGAUUGCCGUGGUCAAGGCUAUGAUAAAUGGUACAAAUAUGUCAGGGAAAGUGAAGGGAGUUCAGGCACACACACAGCAAAAUAAUCCACUGGCCACAUACUCACCGUGUGCCUCCCAUACUCUUAUUCUUGUGGGUGUACAUGUAGCUCAGCCGUGCCCAGGAGUAUCAACCUUAUUUUGUCUGUGUGAAUCGUCUGUACAAUCUGUUCAAUUCCAGCCCAGAGCGAUGGGCCAUUCUCAAAGAAAAUACUGGCUGCUGUCUUAACCGCCUUUCAGACACACGAUGGAGUGCGUGUAUUGCUGCGGUCCGACCAGUGGCAACUCAUUUACUGUCUAUCAUCAAGGCCCUAGACAUGCUUCUUGCUAGCUGCAGCCUGACAAACAAGAAGCCAAAUCUGAGGCAAAAGGUCUGAAAAGCUACUUAAUGUCUUUCAAGGCAAUCUUCCUGCUCACUUUCUGGGUAAGAGUUUUGCAGUGUAUUGAGUAUAGAAGCCUAAUUCUGCAGUCAGGAAAUAUUUCAGUGGACACUGAAGCAGCUCACAUUAAGGCACUACAGGAAGAAAUACAGGCUCUGCAUAAUCAAUGGUGACGCUCUUUUGGCAGAAGCCACCACGGUGGCAAAUGAACGGGGCGGAACUGCUCAGUUUCACAGCUAACAGAGGAGCCGACAGAAAACAAAUAAAAUGUUUCUCUGGCGAUACUGAAGAUGACAAAGGAAAAUGAACAGAAGUCAGACACUGGAUUUCGCAACACAGUGCUUGCGGUUCCACGCGAUUGCAGCUAUACGCAAGGAGAUUUCACCAAACCCAAAUGUGUGUGUAUCUUGCCACAAAUUGUGAAACAAGUACUCCACAAAGAUCUCACAGAUGGAUUUGAAAAUGAGGUGCGGUCUAAAGAUGAUAUACGGUGCCACUUUCUCCUGUAGAGCUCCUACAUGCCAUCCACAAGUUGCAUUUUUUUUGAGAGAUAUGCGUUGCACUGCAAAUCUUCUGUACAAUGCCUGCAACAGUAGCUGGAGGUGAACGUGCCUUCAGUAAGCUGAAACUUCCAAAGAACAAUCUAAGAUCUGCAAUGUGCCAAGGCAGGUUGAACAGCCUUGCCACCCUUUCAAAUGAAAACCAGUUAGCUAGAAAAUGUAAUUUUAAAGACAUUAUAAACAAGAAGGCUUGAUGCUGGGCUCUUGGUGCAGGGUAAUAAUCUCUGAGUUUUGUUUACAGGGAACAAACACAAGGGCAAAUGCCUUAACCUGUUCUACCCAAGCCUGCCCGGGGACGGGCAAAAUACUGUUUCAGAGUAUGUUCUGCUAUGGUUUGUCUCGUGUGGAACUUACUCAGGAAUGAACCACAUAAUGUCUUGACACUACAGUUGCAGUCUCACAGAUGCUUGCUCUCUGUAGGUACCACAUUUAUGCCUGCAGUCCACAUAGUUCAGGAAUUGUUUUUAUUUUGGGUAUGUUAUUUAGGCAUAUAUUUAGGAAUUAUGGGCAGUAGAGGGUUAGCCUUGUUUAUAAGAAUUGGUAAUCAAUUAUUUAAUCUUAAACAUGGAUCAUUGGUAAUUUCUUAAUUGAAACUGACUACAAUACUGAAUAUUAAAAAAUAAGUCCCCAAUUGUUUAGUUAUUUAUAAUAAAGCAUCAUAAAAAUCUCA